ACUGGCAGGCACCGCAGGCCAUCGAUCGUCAGAAAGACACGGAGUUUGGCCAGAAUUAUCAGAGAAGAGUUUGGCCAGAGGGGUCAGAGAAGACUCCAGCGGAAAACCAUCUCCCCUGUGACUCCAGAAUCUUCUGAGAGCUACUUCUACUUAAUAAAACCUUGCACUCAUUCUCCAAGCCCACAUGUGAUCCGAUUCAUCCAGUACACCAAGUGUCCAGGGACAUCUAGAUGAUAGAAGUUCCUUCAGAUGGGUCCCUGGUGUGAGGGUGUCCUGUAUCAGACUGCCUAUUGAAGUUCAACCUGUGGUUCAAGACAGGAUCUCAUUCAGAAUACUACUUUCAUUCAGGCUGGAGUGCAGUGGCAUGAUCUUAGCUCUCUGCAACUUCCGCCUCCUGGGCUCAAGCGAUUCUCCUGUCUCAGGCUCCGGAGUAGCUGGGACUACAGGCAUGCGCCACAACACCAGGAAAAAACUUCUAGGGGAAUUGGAUGUGAAAAGUGUCCCUGGUCCUAUGAUCACAAAGAUUUGCAGCAAGGUCAAGACACAGAAGUAACAAAUGCUUCCAGCUUCAGCAAAUGGUGCCCCAUCUUCUGCAUGGGAAUACCCAUUAUUCCAAGCCUGUUUUCGGGGAAAGUGAUAGACAAUGGUGGUGCCCAGGGUGCAGGGAACAAAGGGAACUGGACAGAUGGAAAAUACGCAUUGGGGUUAUAAAAUACAAUUCUGCAGAGGUCCUUUUCCUCAGACACAACCUAGAAAAUGGCAAUGAAAAAGAUAAGGAAAAUUAAAGAGAUGAAAUCCAAGAUCAUUAGAAAGCUGUACAUACUGAUACAGACACCCAGGAACCUCAAAAUCACAGGAUACAAAGGGAGAAAAGCAGUAA
This 880-nucleotide long non-coding RNA is filed under the name Homo sapiens (human). RNAcentral's name for it is "novel transcript". Lineage: Eukaryota; Metazoa; Chordata; Mammalia; Primates; Hominidae. The record is from RNAcentral.